UACGUAGGGGGCAAGCGUUGUUCGGAAUUAUUGGGCGUAAAGAGCGUGUAGGCGGCCAGAAAAGUCCGCUGUGAAAACUCGAGGCUCAACUUCGAGCUGUCGGUGGAAACUUUCUGGCUAGAGUCCGGAAGAGGAGAAUGGAAUUCCUGGUGUAGCGGUGAAAUGCGCAGAUAUCAGGAAGAACACCCGUGGCGAAGGCGGUUCUCUGGGACGGUACUGACGCUGAGACGCGAAAGCGUGGGGAGCGAACAGG
RNAcentral lists this ribosomal RNA (253 nucleotides) under uncultured bacterium. RNAcentral's name for it is "partial 16S ribosomal RNA". It matches the Rfam family "Bacterial small subunit ribosomal RNA", at positions 524 to 776 of the family's 1533-position model. The record is from RNAcentral.